RNAcentral lists this ribosomal RNA (253 nucleotides) under uncultured bacterium. Its description in RNAcentral is "partial 16S ribosomal RNA". It matches the Rfam family "Bacterial small subunit ribosomal RNA", at positions 524 to 776 of the family's 1533-position model. The record is from RNAcentral.
UACGAAGGGGGCUAGCGUUGCUCGGAAUCACUGGGCGUAAAGGGUGCGUAGGCGGGUCUUUAAGUCAGGGGUGAAAUCCUGGAGCUCAACUCCAGAACUGCCUUUGAUACUGAGGAUCUUGAGUCCGGGAGAGGUGAGUGGAACUGCGAGUGUAGGGGUGAAAUUCGUAGAUAUUCGCAAGAACACCAGUGGCGAAGGCGGCUCACUGGCCCGGUACUGACGCUGAGGCACGAAAGCGUGGGGAGCAAACAGG